AGUUUGAUCAUGGCUCAGAUUGAACGCUGGCGGCAGGCCUAACACAUGCAAGUCGAGCGGUAGAGAGAAGCUUGCUUCUCUUGAGAGCGGCGGACGGGUGAGUAAUGCCUAGGAAUCUGCCUGGUAGUGGGGGAUAACGUUCGGAAACGGACGCUAAUACCGCAUACGUCCUACGGGAGAAAGCAGGGGACCUUCGGGCCUUGCGCUAUCAGAUGAGCCUAGGUCGGAUUAGCUAGUUGGUGAGGUAAUGGCUCACCAAGGCGACGAUCCGUAACUGGUCUGAGAGGAUGAUCAGUCACACUGGAACUGAGACACGGUCCAGACUCCUACGGGAGGCAGCAGUGGGGAAUAUUGGACAAUGGGCGAAAGCCUGAUCCAGCCAUGCCGCGUGUGUGAAGAAGGUCUUCGGAUUGUAAAGCACUUUAAGUUGGGAGGAAGGGUUGUAGAUUAAUACU
RNAcentral lists this ribosomal RNA (455 nucleotides) under Pseudomonas sp. DJ3. RNAcentral describes it as "bacterial SSU rRNA". It matches the Rfam family "Bacterial small subunit ribosomal RNA", at positions 10 to 468 of the family's 1533-position model. The record is from RNAcentral. Lineage: Bacteria; Pseudomonadati; Pseudomonadota; Gammaproteobacteria; Pseudomonadales; Pseudomonadaceae.